This 1157-nucleotide ribosomal RNA is filed under the name Microbacterium sp. Its description in RNAcentral is "bacterial SSU rRNA". It matches the Rfam family "Bacterial small subunit ribosomal RNA", at positions 39 to 1211 of the family's 1533-position model. Lineage: Bacteria; Bacillati; Actinomycetota; Actinomycetes; Micrococcales; Microbacteriaceae. The record is from RNAcentral.
AUGGGGGUCUUACACAUGCAGUCGAACGGUGAAGCCAAGCUUGCUUGGUGGAUCAGUGGCGAACGGGUGAGCUAACACGUGAGCAACCUGCCCUGAACUCUGGGAUAAGCGCUGGAAACGGUGUCUAAUACUGGAUAUGAGCUGCGGAGGCAUCUUCGUGGUUGGAAAGAUUUUUCGGUUUGGGAUGGGCUCGCGGCCUAUCAGCUUGUUGGUGAGGUAAUGGCUCACCAAGGCGUCGACGGGUAGCCGGCCUGAGAGGGUGACCGGCCACACUGGGACUGAGACACGGCCCAGACUCCUACGGGAGGCAGCAGUGGGGAAUAUUGCACAAUGGGCGGAAGCCUGAUGCAGCAACGCCGCGUGAGGGAUGACGGCCUUCGGGUUGUAAACCUCUUUUAGCAGGGAAGAAGCGUGAGUGACGGUACCUGCAGAAAAAGCGCCGGCUAACUACGUGCCAGCAGCCGCGGUAAUACGUAGGGCGCAAGCGUUAUCCGGAAUUAUUGGGCGUAAAGAGCUCGUAGGCGGUUUGUCGCGUCUGCUGUGAAAACCCGAGGCUCAACCUCGGGCCUGCAGUGGGUACGGGCAGACUAGAGUGCGGUAGGGGAGAUUGGAAUUCCUGGUGUAGCGGUGGAAUGCGCAGAUAUCAGGAGGAACACCGAUGGCGAAGGCAGAUCUCUGGGCCGUAACUGACGCUGAGGAGCGAAAGGGUGGGGAGCAAACAGGCUUAGAUACCCUGGUAGUCCACCCCGUAACGUUGGGAACUAGUUGUGGGGUCCAUUCCACGGAUUCCGUGACGCAGCUACGCAUUAAGUUCCCCGCCUGGGGAGUACGGCCGCAAGGCUAAAACUCAAGGAAUUGACGGGGACCCGCACAAGCGGCGGAGCAUGCGGAUUAAUUCGAUGCAACGCGAGAACCUUACCAAGGCUUGACAUACACGAGAACGCUGCAGAAAUGUAGAACUCUUUGGACACUCGUGAACAGGUGGUGCAUGGGUUGUCGUCAGCUCGUGUCGUGAGAUGUUGGGUUAAGUCCCGCAACGAGCGCAACCUCGUUCUAUGUUGCCCAGCCACGUAAUGAGGACUCAUGGGAUACUGCCCGGGGAUCACUCGAAGGAGUUGGGAAUGACGUCAAUCAUCAUGCCCCCUUUAAUGACCUUG